This 497-nucleotide ribosomal RNA is filed under the name uncultured bacterium. Its description in RNAcentral is "partial 16S ribosomal RNA". It matches the Rfam family "Bacterial small subunit ribosomal RNA", at positions 28 to 507 of the family's 1533-position model. The record is from RNAcentral.
GAUGAACGCUGGCGGCGUGCCUAAUACAUGCAAGUCGAGCGAACGGACGAGAAGCUUGCUUCUCUGAUGUUAGCGGCGGACGGGUGAGUAACACGUGGAUAACCUACCUAUAAGACUGGGAUAACUUCGGGAAACCGGAGCUAAUACCGGAUAAUAUUUUGAACCGCAUGGUUCAAAAGUGAAAGACGGUCUUGCUGUCACUUAUAGAUGGAUCCGCGCUGCAUUAGCUAGUUGGUAAGGUAGCGGCUUACCAAGGCAACGAUGCAUAGCCGACCUGAGAGGGUGAUAGGCCACACGGGAACUGAGACACGGUCCAGACUCCUACGGGAGGCAGCAGUAGGGAAUCUUCCGCAAUGGGCGAAAGCCUGACGGAGCAACGCCGCGUGAGUGAUGAAGGUCUUCGGAUCGUAAAACUCUAUUAUUAGGGAAGAACAUAUGUGUAAGUAACUGUGCACAUCUUGACGGUACCUAAUCAGAAAGCCACGGCUAACUACGUG